UACAGAGGUCCCAAGCGUUGUUCGGAUUUACUGGGCGUAAAGGGUGCGUAGGCGGUUGGAUAAGUCUGGUGUGAAAGCUCGGAGCCUAACUCCGAAACGGCAUUGGAUACUGUUCAGCUUGAGGUUGGGAGGGGGGACUGGAAUUCUCGGUGUAGCAGUGAAAUGCGUAGAUAUCGAGAGGAACACCAGUGGCGAAGGCGAGUCCCUGGACCAAUCCUGACGCUGAGGCACGAAAGCCAGGGGAGCAAACGGG
Molecule: ribosomal RNA, 253 nt
Filed under: uncultured bacterium
Lineage: Bacteria
Description: partial 16S ribosomal RNA
Rfam family: Bacterial small subunit ribosomal RNA
Source: RNAcentral